This 429-nucleotide ribosomal RNA is filed under the name Chloroflexota bacterium. RNAcentral's name for it is "Chloroflexi bacterium partial 16S ribosomal RNA". It matches the Rfam family "Bacterial small subunit ribosomal RNA", at positions 355 to 776 of the family's 1533-position model. The record is from RNAcentral. Lineage: Bacteria; Bacillati; Chloroflexota.
UGGGGAAUAUUGCACAAUGGGCGCAAGCCUGAUGCAGCCAUGCCGCGUGUAUGAAGAAGGCCUUCGGGUUGUAAAGUACUUUCAGUCGGGAGGAAGGUGGUAAGGUUAAUAACCUUGGCAAUUGACGUUACCGACAGAAGAAGCACCGGCUAACUCCGUGCCAGCAGCCGCGGUAAUACGGAGGGUGCAAGCGUUAAUCGGAAUUACUUGGCGUAAAGCGCACGCAGGCGGUUGAUUGAGUCAGAUGUGAAAUCCCCGGGCUUAACCCGGGAAUUGCAUCUUCUACUGGUCAGCUAGAGUCUUGUAGAGGGGGGUAGAAUUCCAUGUGUAGCGGUGAAAUGCGUAGAGAUGUGGAGGAAUACCGGUGGCGAAGGCGUCCCCCUGGACAAAGACUGACGCUCAGGUGCGAAAGCGUGGGGAGCAAACAGG